RNAcentral lists this ribosomal RNA (492 nucleotides) under uncultured bacterium. Its description in RNAcentral is "partial 16S ribosomal RNA". It matches the Rfam family "Bacterial small subunit ribosomal RNA", at positions 29 to 507 of the family's 1533-position model. The record is from RNAcentral.
AGUGAACGCUGGCGGUAGGCCUAACACAUGCAAGUCGAACGGCAGCACAGUAAGAGCUUGCUCUUACGGGUGGCGAGUGGCGGACGGGUGAGGAAUAUAUCGGAAUCUACUUUUUCGUGGGGGAUAACGUAGGGAAACUUACGCCAAUACCGCAUACGACCUACGGGUGAAAGCAGGGGAUCUUCGGACCUUGCGCGAUUCAAUGAGCCGAUGUCGGAUUAGCUAGUUGGCGGGGUAAAGGCCCACCAAGGCGACGCUCCGUAGCUGGUCUGAGAGGAUGAUCAGCCACACUGGAACUGAGACACGGUCCAGACUCCUACGGGAGGCAGCAGUGGGGAAUAUUGGACAAUGGGCGCAAGCCUGAUCCAGCCAUACCGCGUGGGUGAAGAAGGCCUUCGGGUUGUAAAGCCCUUUUGUUGGGAAAGAAAAGCAGCAGGUUAAUACCCCGCUGUUCUGACGGUACCCAAAGAAUAAGCACCGGCUAACUUCGUG